This 254-nucleotide ribosomal RNA is filed under the name uncultured bacterium. Its description in RNAcentral is "partial 16S ribosomal RNA". It matches the Rfam family "Bacterial small subunit ribosomal RNA", at positions 524 to 776 of the family's 1533-position model. The record is from RNAcentral.
UACGUAGGCAGCGAGCGUUGUUCGGAGUUACUGGGCGUAAAGAGCGUGUAGGCGGCCCGGUAAGUCCGCUGUGAAAGUCGGGGGCUCAACCCUCGAAUGCCGGUGGAUACUGUCGGGCUAGGAGUGCGGGAGAGGCGAGUGGAAUUCCUGGUGUAGCGGUGAAAUGCGCAGAUAUCGGGAAGAACACCCGUGGCGAAGGCGGUUCUCUGGGACGGUACUGACGCUGAGACGCGAAAGCGUGGGGAGCGAACAGG